GUCCACGCCCUAAACGAUGUCGACUGGUUGUUGGGUGGGUAACCACUUAGUAACGAAGCUAACGCGUGAAGUCGACCGCCUGGGGAGUACGGUCGCAAGAUUAAAACUCAAAGGAAUUGACGGGGACCCGCACAAGCGGUGGAUGAUGUGGUUUAAUUCGAUGCAACGCGAAAAACCUUACCUACACUUGACAUGUCAGAAAUCCUGCAGAGAUGUGGGAGUGCCGCAAGGAAUCUGAACACAGGUGCUGCAUGGCUGUCGU
RNAcentral lists this ribosomal RNA (262 nucleotides) under uncultured bacterium. RNAcentral describes it as "partial 16S ribosomal RNA". It matches the Rfam family "Bacterial small subunit ribosomal RNA", at positions 793 to 1055 of the family's 1533-position model. The record is from RNAcentral.